GGGCGAGUAGCUCAGCGGAAGAGCGCCUCCCUUACACGGAGGAGGUCGGGGGUUCAAGACCCUCCUCGCCCACCA
RNAcentral lists this transfer RNA (75 nucleotides) under Pseudomonadota bacterium. RNAcentral's name for it is "tRNA-Val". It matches the Rfam family "tRNA". Rfam says of the family: Transfer RNA (tRNA) molecules are approximately 80 nucleotides in length. Their secondary structure includes four short double-helical elements and three loops (D, anti-codon, and T loops). Lineage: Bacteria; Pseudomonadati; Pseudomonadota. RNAcentral also lists the same sequence under 1 other name. The record is from RNAcentral.